RNAcentral lists this long non-coding RNA (575 nucleotides) under Triticum aestivum (bread wheat). Its description in RNAcentral is "long non-coding RNA (TAES_LNC020888)". The record is from RNAcentral. Lineage: Eukaryota; Viridiplantae; Streptophyta; Magnoliopsida; Poales; Poaceae.
GAAAGAGCAUGUUUUAUAGACUUUUUUCCAAGCAUUAUCUGACAAUAACAGACACUGUAGCAGCAUUUGAAAUUCUGAAUUAUACAUAAUUUAGCCAUAUCGGUCUUUUGAAUACUCAAUCAUUAGGCCAAUGUCAUACGCAGUCCACUCCCUGGUCAUACCAGAUCAAGAAAAUUACAAAAUUGACGAAGGUAUAAACUAACAGCCGAAAUACUUGAAGGUAAUGCCUAAAUCUAUCAAGAUUAGGACGAAAAGGGAAGCUCAAAACGCCGGCAUCUGCAGUAAUAUAAGGACCCAAAAGCUUUCGGGAGAGUUCAAGGGCGUCUUAUUAUGGCGUGGCGAGUGGCUGGAGCCUGUCGUAAGCCGGCCCGGUAGAUUUGCGGAUGUGUUCUGUUUCAACAAUAAACUGCAAUUUUUACUACUAAGCUAUAAACAGAUUCAGAACCAACAUGGUGUACCUUGUGGAGACGUACAGAAAGGAGUCUGAAGUGACCGAUGUGCUCGGAUGGAAGGGAAAAAGGCAGCGCAGACCAAGACGAACUGCCCGCGCGAUCGUGAGGCGGCGCUGCAGUUCC